GUGCCAGCCGCCGCGGUAAUACGUAGGGUGCAAGCGUUGUCCGGAUUUAUUGGGCGUAAAGAGCUCGUAGGCGGUUAGUCACGUCGGAUGUGAAAACCAGGAGCUUAACUCCUGGCCUGCAUUCGAUACGGGCUGACUAGAGUGUUGUAGGGGAGACUGGAACUCCUGGUGUAGCGGUGAAAUGCGCAGAUAUCAGGAAGAACACCGGUGGCGAAGGCGGGUCUCUGGGCAACUACUGACGCUGAGGAGCGAAAGCGUGGGGAGCAAACAGGAUUAGAUACCCGCGUAGUCC
RNAcentral lists this ribosomal RNA (292 nucleotides) under uncultured bacterium. RNAcentral's name for it is "partial 16S ribosomal RNA". It matches the Rfam family "Bacterial small subunit ribosomal RNA", at positions 505 to 796 of the family's 1533-position model. The record is from RNAcentral.